CGCACGGGUGAGUAACACGUAUCCAACCUGCCGUCUACUCUUGGACAGCCUUCUGAAAGGAAGAUUAAUACAAGAUGGCAUCAUGAGUCCGCAUGUUCACAUGAUUAAAGGUAUUCCGGUAGACGAUGGGGAUGCGUUCCAUUAGAUAGUAGGCGGGGUAACGGGCCCACCUAGUCUUCGAUGGGUAGGGGUUCUGAGAGGAAGGUCCCCCACAUUGGAACUGAGACACGGUCCAAACUCCUACGGGAGGCAGCAUG
Molecule: ribosomal RNA, 257 nt
Filed under: uncultured bacterium
Lineage: Bacteria
Description: partial 16S ribosomal RNA
Rfam family: Bacterial small subunit ribosomal RNA
Source: RNAcentral